UUUAACACAACUUAUCAACACAUUUGCAUCAACAUUUCACAACAUAAACUCAACAAAUGUACUCAUCACAAUUAACUACAAUAGGCCACUCACCAAUUGGGUUCACAACAUAAAAAUUAACAAUUUUUCCACACUGCAACAGUGUUAACCGGUUAACGCCCUGGGUUAACCGGUUAACGCAGGAAAAACACAUUUUCUGGCAAAAC
This 206-nucleotide long non-coding RNA is filed under the name Lathyrus oleraceus (garden pea). RNAcentral describes it as "Pisum sativum (pea) long non-coding RNA (PSAT_LNC016090)". The record is from RNAcentral. Lineage: Eukaryota; Viridiplantae; Streptophyta; Magnoliopsida; Fabales; Fabaceae.